UACGAAGGGGGCGAGCGUUGUUCGGAUUUACUGGGCGUAAAGGGCGCGUAGGCGGCCUUGUCAGUCAGGCGUGAAAGCCCCGGGCUCAACCUGGGAACGGCGCUUGGGACGGCGAGGCUGGAGUUCGGGAGAGGAGAGUGGAAUUCCCAGUGUAGAGGUGAAAUUCGUAGAUAUUGGAAAGACCACCGAUGGCGAAGGCACUCUACUGGGCCAUUACUGACACUGAGAGACGAAAGCUAGGGGAGCAAAUGGG
RNAcentral lists this ribosomal RNA (253 nucleotides) under uncultured bacterium. RNAcentral's name for it is "partial 16S ribosomal RNA". It matches the Rfam family "Bacterial small subunit ribosomal RNA", at positions 524 to 776 of the family's 1533-position model. The record is from RNAcentral.